This 12058-nucleotide long non-coding RNA is filed under the name Triticum aestivum (bread wheat). Its description in RNAcentral is "long non-coding RNA (TAES_LNC019981)". The stretch from base 9200 to 9316 matches the Rfam family "MIR1120/MIR1122 microRNA precursor family". Lineage: Eukaryota; Viridiplantae; Streptophyta; Magnoliopsida; Poales; Poaceae. The record is from RNAcentral.
UUCUUCUUGCUCUCGUCCUUGUCCUUGUCAUCGUCGACCUCCUCGACCUCGCCUUCCUUCUUCUCCUCGGAAGCGUCUUCGUCUUCGUCGUCGCUGAUCUCCUUCUCGGUGGUCUUCUCGGUCCAGAGGUAGAUGGGGUAGCUGAUGAACUCCGAGUGCUUCUUGACGAGGUCCUUGAGGCGGCGCUCCUCGAGGUACUCGAGCUGGUCGUCCUUGAGGAAGAGCGUGAUCUUGGUGCCGCGGCCGAGCCGCUCGCCCUCCGUGUCGAGGGUGACGGUGAAGGAGCCGCCGGCCUGCGACUCCCACACGUACUGCUCGUCGUCGUUGUGCUUGGUGGUGACCACCACCUUGUCGGCGACGAGGUAGGCCGAGUAGAAGCCGACCCCGAACUGGCCGAUCAUGCUCACGUCCGCGCCCGCCUGCAGCGCCUCCAUGAACUCCUUGGUGCCCGAGCGCGCGAUGGUGCCCAGGUUGUUCACAAGGUCUGCGGCCACGGCAAACAAUCAUAAGAGAUUUGGUCAUCGUCAUCAGAUCAGAGGCAAAUGGAAGUUCAGUCUGAAACUCUAGAUUAGUUGUCGUCAGACAUUCAGACAUUCAGCAACGACUGAACAUUUAAAUUCAGGCAGACAUUCAGCAACGAUGACACCUCUAAAUUCAGGCAGACAUUCAGCAACGAUGACACAUCUAAAUUCAGACAGACAUUCAGGGAUUCAGCAACAAUAGCACAUAAUGAAUUCAGCCACCAUCCAUGAUUGAUGGAUUGAGAGUGGAAGAGGAUGCGGCCAUAGAUAGAUAGAUAGAUGGAUACCUGACUUGGUCAUGCCGACGCCGCUGUCGAUGAUGGAGAGCGUCUUGUUGGCCUUGUCGGGGACGAGGCGGAUGAAGAGCUCCGGCUGCGCGUCGAGCUUGCUCUUGUCUGUCAGGCUCUCGAACCGGAUCUUGUCAAGCGCCUGCAAGCAAAGCAUCAUUGGGUGUGAGCAAAUCAAGCAACAAAUGAAUCAUCUCUGACUCUGACGACGAACGAACAGACAAGGCAGAGAAGCAGAGGAAACAGAGCAAGGAAGGAACAGACAGAGGAGGAAGGAAGGAAGAGAGGAGAACAUACGUCUGACGAGUUUGAUAUGAGCUCGCGGAGGAAGAUCUCCUUGUUGGAGUAGAAGGUGUUGAUGAUGAGCGAGAGCAGCUGGUUGAUCUCCGCCUGGAACGCGAAGGUCUCCGUCUCCAUCUGCACGUCCGACGCCAUUGCCGUCUCCGCUGCCACUUCUCGAAGGGAAAUUGGGGGAAGAUGGCUGGGUGGGCUGCUGAUUCCUCGGCCGAUUCGCUGCGUUGAUUGCUCUGAUCGCUUGCUUGUCGCGCUGCGGGAAGAGGUUUGGGGACAGACAGAUUGACGAACAGGUGGCGGGCGGGAGGAUUUAUACCCCGGAGAUGGGAUCGCUAGGGGCCUUCGCAGGUGUUCUGGUGCCUUCCACGGAUUACCGGCACGAGCUCCGGCGCGCGUUCGCGGGCGUUCCCGAAGCUUCUUGUGGUCUCUCCCCCCUCCCGCUCCGUUGGUGCGGAGAGCGGCGAGGCGGUCGCCUUGGCCUGCCCGAGCCUUGUCCCGAAGCUUCUACAUACUACAAUGGACCUUAGCAGAAAUGGGGAGGCUGCUAUAUCUCGCUUGUACGCACGCGUAUGGGCCGGCCCAGGAUGCCCAAACCAGAAAGCAAAAGUGAAUAGGUGGUAGAGGGUGUGUGUGUUGCUGUGUCAAAUUGAGAUUGUGUGGGCGUUCGCUCAAGUUCGACGCCAUCAAGAAUCAUCAUUGGACGGAUGCCCACCCCUCAAAAAUAAAAAAUAAAACCAUUGGAUGGAUGCCCGGGCGUUGAGAAGGCGGGGCGCUCUUGGAUGCGGAGAGAACAAUGCCAAAGAGAACUCGGCAAAUGACCUCGUAAGUUCGGGUUUCUAUCGGGGCUUCCUUUAAUUUCUUGCCGCUUUCUACGCGAGCAUCUUGUAAAAUACAUGGGUAACUUAUGUUAAACAUAAGACAAGCGUUUUUACAAUGCGUGAUGAAACUAUUUUUAAUAUGGCAUGCAUUUUCUAUAUACACAUGGACCAUUUUAAUAUGAGAUUAACAUGUUUUCGUACAUUACAAGCAUCCGUUAAGUUCAUGAAAAUUUUUUGAGACAUGAUGAACACAUUAUAAGUUCACGAUGAACAUUCUUAACACACCAUUUAAGUACAUUCUUUAAGACAAUUUGAACAUUUUUAAUACACGUGUCAACAUUUUGUCAAGACAAGAUGACUUGAACGUUUUUACUUUAACAUCUUUCUACAUUAUUGUUCGUGAUGUUCAUCGAUUUCAAUAGAAACACAAAAAAGUGUUCAUGAUGCUUUUAUAAAGGUUCGUGAUGUUCAUUGAUUUCAAUAGAAACAUGAAUUAUUGUUCAUGAUAUUUCUUAAUGUUCAUUGAUUCGAAUUAGUGUUCAUUUAAAUGUUCGUGAUCUUCAUUGAUUUCAAUAGAAACACGAAUUAGUGUUGAUGAAAUUUUUAAAAAAUGCUAAAAAAGGAAAAAAAUAUGUUCGUGAAUUUCAAAAUUUGUUCCCACAUUUCAAAAAAACUUCGCCAGUUCAGAAAAUGUCUCCGAUUCAAAAAUAAUGAAUUCAGAAAAGUGUUCAUGCAUAUGAAAAAAAGUUCAUCAAACAAAGUGUUCAUGAUUUUAAAAAAUUGUACGCCGAUUUCAAAAAUAUUCACGAGUUCAAAAAAAUGUUUGCAAUUUCAGAAAAAACAUUCAUGAAUUUGUAAAGAAGUUCAUGAAUUCAAAAAAUGUUCAUGAUUUCGAAAAAUAUUUGAAAAACUUGAAAAAAUGUUCAUGAUUUAAAAUCAAGUGAUCAAGAAUUUGAAAAAGUACUCAUGAUUUUAAAACAAAUGUUCACAAAUGACGCAUUACAAGUCCUUAGUAUGAGAAUCAUAUUCGAGGAAGAGACACACAAGGAUUCUCGAAGAGAAAGGAGCUGCUCUAGAGGAUCUAAUCCUCAACGAAGAGCCAGGCGCUGAAUUUGAGAUCAUCAAGGCAUUCAAACCAAUCGGUUAUUGCCGGUGUCUUUUCUUCUUUUCAACAAAAUUCCCUUUCCUUCUCGUGUUGGCGGCGCCGCCGAUUCGCCCCACCUUCGAUGGCCUUUGGGCCGUGGAGGUGCGGAGGACCCCCUCCCCCCCCGCCCCCGCCGCGCUACGAGAGGGACCCCGUUCUCUUUUUUGUUAGAUACAACAUCUUGGUUGGGGCUGUGUGGUGGUGAUGAUGUCCCUUAGUAGGAAUAAUGUUUCCCACGUCCUAUCCCCCGCCCCAAUGGUGCGAAUAACAUCGUCGGAGGAUGUGUGGAGGUGUGUCUCCGCUGGACCUCACGGAUUCGGUCGGUGUUAGUCUUCGAUGGAUCUGUUUGGAUCUAGUUCAUCUUCGAUCUACAACUCUCUUCAUCGGCGAUGAUUACUGCUCUGAUGCGAUGGUCCUUUGGGGCCUUAGCACGACGACUACCCCACUGUCUACUACAAAAAGAUUUGCCCGGCUUCAGUGAGGGAGUGGGGAUGACGGCGGCGCGCCUUCAGCACACUCGAGUGCUUAUAGUCGUCGCUAGAUGGUCCAUGUACUUGGUUGUGAUUUUAAUUACCUCUAGUGUUCUUUGUAUGACAUGAUUGAUGAAUAGAUUGAAAAAUUUUCUCGCAAAAGAAAGGCAUUCAAACCAAGCGAAGAAUGCACUCCUACAAAAGGAUCUAAUUAUUUUUACCUGAUUCCUAUCAAAUCUCAAUGCCCGUAAUGAUGCACACUGUUGCCCACCAUUUGUGUGGAGACCAUCUCAAUUAUCACCAUCUCCCAAACUGGAUUUUGUUUUCUAAAAUUUAGGUUAAACCAGGUACAUAUUUUAUUUUUUUAAAGUAAAAUGUGAAAAGUUUGCAUGGAAAACGAUUUUUGAAAAAAAAAGGAGCAAAUGGUGGUAGAUUGGACAAAUCGUGCUCAAGAAGUUUUUGGGCCAACAAUAAUGCCUAGUAGAUCAAAAGUUGACUCCGGAGAUGGGCCCAGGCAAAGAGUGGGCUUUCAAGGUUCCGCUAGGGUUUAACGCCCUCGACGCCGCCGCACGCUCCGAAGGAGAAGAAAAGAAAUGGCAUCCUUGGCCCGCGCCGCCGCCACCGCCGCCAGAGCGGCCCUCCGCCCGGCGCCCCUCGCCGGCCGGGGCCUCGGCCUCGGCUCCUCCCUGCCGUCUUCCUCCCCCGCACGGGCCGCCCGAAUCCUCCGCAGGUAUGCUGUCCAGUAGUCAGUAGAUGAGUGGAUCGAUGGGCGUGGCUGUGUGUGUGACAUCGAGGUUUCCUGCAGGUCGGCGGUGGCGGGGCUGGAGACGCUGCUGCCCCUGCACACGGCGGUGGCGUCGGCGCGCCUCAAGUCCUGCAUCGCCGUCGACUCCACCUGCUGGUGCUCCCUCUCCCAAGGUACCAAACCCGCGCGGCGCCUUAUCCACCCCCCUUUCAGUUUUUCUGGUUAUCCACAUUUGCACUAGUUGAAUGUGUCAGCCUCAGAUUAAUUUAUAUAUCCACCAAGAACAACCCUGUAAAAUCCUGGAGUUUGACAGUUACAACUGAGUACAAUGUUGAGCGGUGUGUGGUAUUACAUUCCGAUGGGGAAUAGCUGUUAUCGACAUGCAAACCUGCACACAAGAGAGUGAAUCCUGUUGAUGCUACAUGGUUUAUGAGGUUCGAUAUGGAAAUGCGGUGUUGCUGUGGAGGGAUUCAGUUACUGACAUGCAUAAUAGUUGAAUAUACGGCGGUGAGAAGUAUUGUUCAUUCUUAGUCGAGACUAAAUUGCCAAGUUUGUAAACCUUUAUAUCUGUGAGUGAUAUAUAAUGAUCCCUUACCCUAUAAUGAUAAGAUUCUAGAACACCUUGAGGCUAGCUGUUCGUUAAUACCUGCUGGUUGUUACUAUCGCUCUUUUUUAUGAAGGCAGUUAGUAUUUAACAUCUAUCGUUUCAGCGCCAAGCGACCAAACAAUGUUUUGUUUCUGGUCAGUUAGGAUGAUUCGUCCGCUUCUAUCCAUUGUCCUCAACUAAUUCCGUGUAUUAGUUCAUGUUUGGUUAAUUUUAUAGUAUGUGGGACCAUGUGUUUUCUUUGCUUGACUUUAUCUAUCAGUGACAGCAUAUUCAUGGCACUAUGCAGUUUUAGUAAGCUGUGUGCUUCAUAGUAGAAAAAUCAAUUCAAAAUGUUGUACUUCUUGAUCUUCAUAAGUCUGAACAGUUAAGGAUCGAUGAAGAAUGAACUUGAUUGGCUUAGUUUUCCCAAUUGCAGUAGUGUCAGAUCCUUGGUUUUCAUGAUCUAGAUACCUGUAUAUUUCAUAUCUUUUUACUUGACGAUUUUUGUCAUAUUUCUUGGAACGGAUCCAUGGGCACCUUACACUUUGGAUUUGAGCGAGUAGUUUUUGGUUGUUGUGAUAUCCGGAUGGUUACCUAAGAAUAUCCAUUUUGUAUCACUUUACCUAGAGACAACACCAAAAGUAACAUCUGCAACCCUUUGUGUGUUUCCUCAUUCACAUAGUUAAUUUUACUUUUCCUACCACCUGUCCCCUCCUAACAGUUCUCACCAUGCUCUCUCUUGUACUUCACCCAAUCACUCCCCAACUAGAAUUCCAGGUGACAUGGCAGGAAAACGGUAGCCUACGUAGCCUAUGUUAUAUACUGAGGUUGACGAGCUAUAUGGCAUGUUUACAUUAAGAAUUUUGCCAUGGUAGAGUAGUAAUUGUGAUGUUCCUGGGCUCCAUCAAACAAAUAUGUCAUCCUGUCCCGGCAGCAAGGAUAGUAUUUUCAAGUCUUAUGCCCCCAAAUGUAGUUCUCAGUAAUGCAGGUCACUCGUUUAACUUUUGACAGCUGUUUCUCUUUUGGUGUCAGUAAUGCAUAUAAGAUGCUGCUAGUUUUGUGUGUCAGUAAUACAUACUCCUUUAUUCAACCAGGAAAUAUCAAAUUGAUCAAUUAAUGCUACUAAGUGAAUUGAAAUGGUUAUUGUCCAUUGUUUCCUUUUGAAAAGGAUUGGGGUAUUUAUCUAUUGACUAUGGUUGUUAUAGGUUUUAAAAAGCGCGUCUGAUCAUGGUUAGGAGCUGUGCAGCUGAGAAGUGAAGACACCGAGUUAGUGCAUUUGUUUGCUGAUAGUUCUUAGACAUGUGUCCCAUCUAUUUUGCCAUUGCUCUCGAUGAAUGUACUCUUAACAAAAUAAUGCAUACUGUUUUUUGUGUGUCAUAUACUGAAUAUUGUGGUCUUGCUUGGCAGACCAGAGUCCUUUUAUUCAACCAGUAAUGCAUAUCAAAAUGUUAGUUUUGUGUGCCAGUAAUAACAUAUUGAAUAUUGACAUCUUGCUUGGUAGACUAGACUCCUAUACAGCGAGGAAAUAUCGAAUUGAUCAUGUCUAGUUACUAAGUGAGUUGAACAUGAGAUGUUUGUGGUUGGCACCAAGUGAAUUGAAAUGCUUAUUCUCCGUUUUUUCUUAUCGGAAAGGAUGGGGUAUUUAUCUAUUGACUAUGGUUGUUAUAGGUUUUAAAAAGCGCAUCUGAUCAUGGUUAGGAGCUGCACAGCUGAGAAGUGAAGACACCGAGUUAAAAACAAAGUGCAUCUGUUUGCCGAUAGUGCCUAGAAUAUGUAUCACAUCUAUUUUGCCAUUGCUCUCAGUGAAUGUACUCUUAUAACAAAAUAAUGGAGCAUGCCACAAGUUGCCCCCUUGUCUCUGGGACAUUGUUUUUUUGUUGAGCCUGGAAAAACCUUGGAAGGAUGUCAUAUUUUUGCUUCUUAACGCGAUGUGUUGUGUAUUGCGUCAUCUAUUCUUGUCCUGACCUGUUCUUACAUUUCGUGAUAUAGGAUAUGCUUUGCCUUUGUGACAAAGAGCUGCCCCCGAAGAAACCAAUGAACAUUAAGGAUCACAGACAUUUCGGGCUGUAAUAAUUAGAUACUUGCAAACUGACAGUGGCACAGUGCAUCCAGACCUGUUUAAUGAUUAUAUAAUGUGAUUCCUCCAUGUUUUGGAGGAAGUUUGUUUGAUGCUGAAAGUUUACGCCCUGUGUGUUUUCUGCGGCUCUUGCUUUGUUAUGCAUCCCUUGAGCCUUUUUCUUGUGAUAUUUGAAACUGGGUUCGUGUGGAUUGGCACAAAACGUUUGUAGUUCAGGUCAGGAGCCCUUUAUGGUUAUGGAGAAAUCAUAGAUUUGUCAUUUUUCCAUAUGUCUUGUUUGUUUAAAAUGUGCGUCCUUGGCUCUAUAUAUGAUUAGUUGUAUGUGUGUUUAUUCUUUGAGGUUUCAGUUGCUUGUUACUUUGAGGGAGUGACACAUUUAACAUUUUAUAACAGGCCUGGAAGGCUUCAAACAGAUUGUGCCAACUGAUUGUUUAACCAACUGUUAUUGUAAGAUUUCUCUAAAAAAGUGUAGUAAAGACUAGGGCGUGUCACCUGACCGGCACUGGCUGAGUUGCCGAUGGAGCCUAGUCCUCUUGGCUGGGCGGCGGCGUGGUCGUCCUUGCUUUCUAUGAUGGCAGAUUUUCUUGACACUGAUGUUGCUCCGGAUGGUGAUGGUGUUCUCAUCAUGCUCUCGUUGCAUGUGAACAUGGCGUGCGCGCACACAUGUGAUCUGAAAACCGAGUGACACAUGCCAAUGAAAAACUGCGAAAAAUCAUAAACAUGGCACACACAUGUACUAGUAGCGAUUGUGUGAAAACCAAAAUGGUGAAUGCCAAGGAAAUUGAAAGAACCAUGAACAUGGCUGGCUAAAACCAACAAACAAAUGCUAAGGAAAACCGGAAAACCAUGAAAAUGGCGCGCACAUGGCGUGGCUCAUCUGGAAACCAGAAGAUAUAGUCCAAGAAAAAACCCGAAAAACCAAACGAACAACCUUGCAACACGAGAUCUUUAGGCUUUGCUCCUAGCCAUGCUGGAGUGUGCCUGCCACUCAAUUCUUAUAGUUAUCACGUCACAUGCAUCCCAAUCAAGACACAUACAGGAAACACAUCGCACAUAUAUAAGAAAACUGAUAUUUUUAUUCAUCACAACAAAGGGACCUAAAAGUCCGGGUGGCUACAUAGGAUCUUCCGGAUGAGAAAGGACAACGAUCCCAUCUUCUUAUUUGAAAUGAGAAACAAACGCCGAAAAUAAGAACAUUAGCUGUUGUUGCUUAGAGCGGGCGCACGUAGACACCAAGCGCAUCGAGAUAUAUCCCACUACGCCCGAAGAAGCCCACUAUGCUGCUAUUGUUUUCCACAGGUAUGGUGAAAGGGGUUCCAUUCGCUUCUCCGAAAGGCCCAUAAGCCUUCACAUUGGUGAUGAAUUUCAGUGACAUUAUUAUGUUGUGUUGGUCUGCGUCAUAAAUGCCGUAUGUUCCAGAAACUUCCUUCACAAACUCAGAAGCCCCGAGUACGAUCUGCAUAGCAUGCAAAAGAAAAAAGAAGUGUUGAGUUGCUUACACAUGGAAUUGAGAAAAUCAGAUUAAAAUUAAUUCGGAGAUCGAACCGUGUUCGGAUUUCCUCCGGAUCCUCCCCAGGGUCCACUUGUGUGCUUCUGGCCAGCUUGGUCAACAUAAGAAAAUUUGAUUGAAUCAAUAAUCGAGCCGCUGCUAACUGUGAUGCUCUCUAGACGCCUUGGUGCCUCAACGAUGUCUUUAUCUGACCCUCCACUUCCACCCCAUGGCCCAAGCUUUGUGAGAAGGCUCUACAAGAUAUAAUAAUCAUGUGAUGUUUGUUUAAAUUAAAAGGAUCGGCGUGAUCAAAAGUCAACAAAUGUUUCUAUGGAGAGAAAUAGCAAUAUGUUUUAAUUAAAAAUAAAUAAAUAAGUAACUAUUUCUAUGGAUAUUCAUCUCACCGGCGAGCCUUUCAGCACUGGACAGAACGCGUGGACAGUGAGUUCUAUGAUGUUACCGUCGCUCCUCUGCUCAUGGAACUUUUUGUAUAUGACACCGUUUGCCAUUGCGAACUGUCCUGUGCCACCAACAAUAGCCCACUCACCUUCCUCAACAGAUAUCCCCAUCACCUGAAGCGUUGACCCCUUAAACCUGUAUCAUGUCCACAGAUGGUCGGCAACUGUAUCAUGCACUGAAAUAUGCAACACCACCUAAUAAUAGAAUCAAAUGUAGCUUAACUAAUCCACAUGAAGAUGCAUUUCUUGGCAAAGGUAUAUAACCGUGCAUUUAUAUUUUUGUUGACAGCUAAUAUAAGGUAUAUAUAACCAUAUACUCCCUCCGUCCUAAAAUUCUUGUCUUAGAUUUGUUUAGAUACGGAUGUAUCAAGUACAUCCGUAUCUAGACAAAUCUAAGAUAAGAAUUUUAAGACGGAGGGAGUAUGAAACUGAAAGCAUAUGUGUAGGUACCUUUCAACUUCAAAGGUUAUGCUGAAGGUGUUCUGCCAGUUACCGGCAUAGAUAUGCAGGCCAUGUGCACGUGCAACGACGGUGGCACCGGGGCUAGGGCUAUCACAUAUCGCCCAGUUGUUAACAGCCGUCUGACCCAAACCGGUACUAGCAUUCGGGUCUAUUACGGUGGACUGGGUCUGGUUUGCGCCGAGGGAAGUGUGGAACAGGUACAGACUGCGGAAGUUGAGCUCGUUGCUCUCCACGAACGCGGCGCGGGGAGUGAUCUGGAAAUUGGAGGGGUUCGCCAUGGCGGAGUUGGGUGUGGCUCAACGGAUGGUAUAGGCUUAUGAGAUAGUAGGUCGCUGUGUGUGAGAACUCGAAGGUUGGGAGUGGUAUUUAUAGAUCGCUAGCAUCCCACGCAUCUCGCAUACUCCAUGGCAAUGUGCAUCACGAACACCAUAGCAUCCACAUAGAAAGGAAUCGUUGAACAAUGGGAUAAUCUAUGAUAUUGUCCACCGCCAAGCCAGAGAAUCGGUGCUGACUCAGGCUUGUGUAUCACGAGCACCUGUCUCACCGGCAAGCAAAUCACUGGAUCUCAGAUACACCGGCAGUAAUAAAUGAAGGUAUGGGUAACGCUUCACGUUGUAUAACCGAAGACGGACGUACACCUUGUGCAUCACAACUAGGUAAGAUCUUCACUCUGCUCAAGGCUCAUGGAAGUAAACAAAUAGAGGAUAUAAAUCCAUGUGCAUGGACGUGAUCAUCUGUGCCUCGGGAUAUUUUUCAUUGGGCUGGUUAGGGCAUCUCCAAACCAGCAAAACAGAUAUCGCAUCUGUCUGCGGACACGUAUGUGGAAACUGGCCAUCCAAAACUAUCCGUAUACAUCUGAUCUCAACUUUUUUUUAAAUUCCGCACACUCAAAUAGCUGCAUACAUAGUUUAGAAUAGUUCGAAUGUUUAAAUGCAGCAAUAGUUUUAAUUUAAAAAAGUUCAAAUAUUAUACUCCAACAUUGUUGCCUCCUUUAACCGUCCACAGGUGAUCAAUUAGAUCUUCCUUCAGUUACUUGUGAGUUGCUCGAUGCCGAAUUUGUCGAUGCAUUUGAACAAACUCUUCAAAUAUGGCUGGAUUCUGGUCUGGAAGUUCGUUAAGAUCACACAUAUUCUCAAACUCAAUACUUGCGGCAGCAUACUGAUAACCCACAAGUAUAGGGGAUCGUUUGUAGCCUUCUUUGAUAAAUAAGAGUGUCGAACCCAAUAUGGAGCUAAAGGUAGAACAAGUAUUCCCUCAAAUUCUAUCGACCAGCGAUACAACUCUACGCACACUUGACAUUUGCUUUACCUAAGACAAGUAUGAACCUAUUUUACAAGAAUAAAACUACGAGUACGUUGUGAGAAUAGAACUACGAGUAAAUUGUAAGGUAAUAAAAGUGGAUAUCUUUUGUCAACAAGAAAGUCAUUUGUCCCUAGGCAAUCGAUAACAAAUACCGGUAAUCAUUCUUGUAAUUUUAUAUGAGGAAGAGGCAUGAGCUAACAUACUUUCUCUACUUGAAUCUAUGCACUUAUGAUUGGACCCCUAGCAAGCAUCUGCAACUACUAAAAAUCAUUAAGGUCGUGAAACCCAACCAUAUCAUUAAGUAUCAAGUCCUCUUUAUCCCAUACGCAACAAUCCACCUACUCGGGUUUAAGCUUCUGUCACUCUCGCAACCCACCUUAAGCAAAUCAUGAACGUAUUGCAACACCCUAUAGCGGGGACCCUCAUGUAGACCAAACUCAUAACUCAAAUAUUCUCCUCCACGAUCAGAUCGUAGAAACUUUAUUUUCUUGUUAUGAUGAUUUUCAACUUCACUCUGAAAUUCUUUAAACUUUUCAAAUGUUUCAGACUUGUGUUUCAUUAAGUAGAUAUACCCAUAUCUGCUCAAAUCAUCUGUGAAGGUGAGAAAAUAACGAUAUCCGCCACGAGCUUCAAUAUUCAUCGGACCACAUACAUCCGUAUGUAUGAUUUCCAACAAAUCUGUUGCUCUCUCCAUAGUACCGGAGAACGGUGUUUUAGUCAUCUUGCCCAUGAGGCACGGUUCGCUAGUGCCAAGUGAUUCAUAAUCAAGUGACUCCAAAAGUCCAUCAGUAUGGAGUUUCUUCAUGCGCUUUACACCGAUAUGACCUAAACGGCAGUGCCACAAAUAAGUUGCACUAUCAUUAUCAACUCUGCAUCUUUUGGUUUCAACAUUAUGAAUAUGUGUAUCACUACUAUCGAGAUUCAUCAAAAAUAGACCAUUCUUCAAGGGUGCAUGACCAUAAAAGAUGUUACUCAUAUAAAUAGAACAAUCAUUAUUCUCUGAUUUAAAUGAAUAACCGUCUCGCAUCAAACAAGAUCCAGAUAUAACGUUCAUGCUCAACGCUGGCACCAAAUAACAAUUAUUUAGGUCUAAAACUAAUCCCGAAGGUAGAUGUAGAGGUAGCGUGCCGACCGCGAUCACAUCGACUUUGGAACCAUUUCCCACGCGCAUCGUCACCUCGUCCUUUGCUAGUGUCCGCUUAAUCUGUAGUCCCUGUUUCGAGUUGCAAAUAUUAGCAACAGAACCAGUAUCAAAUACCCAGGUACUACUGCGAGCUCUAGUAAGGUACACAUCAAUAACAUGUAUAUCACAUAUACCUUUGUUCACCUUGCCAUCCUUCUUAUUCGCCAAAUACUUGGGGCAGUUCCGCUUCCAGUGACCAGUCUGCUUGCAGUAGAAGCACUC